Molecule: ribosomal RNA, 407 nt
Filed under: Salmonella enterica subsp. enterica serovar Corvallis
Lineage: Bacteria; Pseudomonadati; Pseudomonadota; Gammaproteobacteria; Enterobacterales; Enterobacteriaceae
Description: bacterial SSU rRNA
Rfam family: Bacterial small subunit ribosomal RNA
Source: RNAcentral
CCAUCAGGUCAGGCUGGGCACUCUGGGGACACUGCCACCGUAAGGUGUGAGGAAGGUGGGGAUGACGUCAAAUCAGCACGGCCCUUACGUCCGGGGCUACACACGUGUUACAAUGGCAGGUACAGAGAGAUGGUGUUCUGCAAAGCGCAUCUAAUCCUUAAAGCCUGUCUCAGUUCGGACUGGGGUCUGCAACCCGACCCCACGAAGCUGGAUUCGCUAGUAAUCGCGCAUCAGCCAUGGCGCGGUGAAUACGUUCCCGGGCCUUGUACACACCGCCCGUCAAGCCAUGAAAGCCGGGGGCGCCUAAAGUCCGUGACCGUAAGGAGCGGCCUAGGGCGAAACUGGUAAUUGGGGCUAAGUCGUAACAAGGUAGCCGUACCGGAAGGUGCGGCUGGAACACCUCCUUU